This 433-nucleotide ribosomal RNA is filed under the name uncultured bacterium. Its description in RNAcentral is "partial 16S ribosomal RNA". It matches the Rfam family "Bacterial small subunit ribosomal RNA", at positions 29 to 507 of the family's 1533-position model. The record is from RNAcentral.
AACGAACGCUGGCGGCAGGCCUAACACAUGCAAGUCGAGCGAGGACUUCGGUCCUAGCGGCGGACGGGUGAGUAACGCGUGGGAACGUGCCCUUUGCUUCGGAAUAGCCCUGGGAAACUGGGAGUAAUACCGGAUGAGCCCUUUGGGGGAAAGAUGUAUCGGCGAAGGAUCGGCCCGCGUUGGAUUAGGUAGUUGGUGGGGUAAUGGCCUACCAAGCCGACGAUCCAUAGCUGGUUUGAGAGGAUGAUCAGCCACACUGGGACUGAGACACGGCCCAGACUCCUACGGGAGGCAGCAGUGGGGAAUCUUAGACAAUGGGGGAAACCCUGAUCUAGCCAUGCCGCGUGAGCGAUGAAGGCCUUAGGGUUGUAAAGCUCUUUCAGCUGGGAAGAUAAUGACGGUACCAGCAGAAGAAGCCCCGGCUAACUCCGUG